This 1180-nucleotide long non-coding RNA is filed under the name Olea europaea subsp. europaea. The record is from RNAcentral. Lineage: Eukaryota; Viridiplantae; Streptophyta; Magnoliopsida; Lamiales; Oleaceae.
GAAUAUAAAACAGAAAUAUUAUAAUUCCGAAAAGGGCUAACCCUUAACACAUUUAAAGCGUCGAAACGAAAUUUUAAUUCGGCAGACAAUUCUGAUUAGAACUAGAAAAUUUCAAAAAUGAUGAAAAUAUGCUUAAACAAAUUCAAAAUAGAAAAAUGCUAAACAGACCUCUAAAGUUUAAUGAUGUUGGCCAAAGGUAUGAUCGUCACCCCGACAAAUUUGUAGAGAAUUAUAAAAUGCUUUGGGAUUGUACUCCUCCAAAAUCAGACACCUAAGAUGAAAGAUACGCCUGCUUUUGUAGGCCAUUCGUAUUUCUACUAUUUUCAAAUUGGUUUAUGAUCUCCUCUUCUAAUUGUUCGUCAUCAGACUUCCAAACUGAAACCAAGAAGUUUUUGCAACAACAUAAUGAUAAGAGUGAUAUUGUUUUGAGACAUGAAGAUGUAAUUUUAUUCUGAAGUCGAACCCUGAAUAUUUUUGUUGUUUAGUUAUUUAUGAAAUUACAAACAACAUCAUCUUUCGGCAUUGAACCAAAGAAAGAGCAAAUGUCAAGUAACACCAGCAUAAUUAAGAAUAGAUGAACAAACAGAUUAUAAGACUUCUUAUUUUUACCGAUCCAUCUAGUUUUAGCUCUGCCACCUCCCCUAUCUGGUGACACAGAAGUUAAUUAGUAGUGCCUUCGCCUGGUGGUUGGAGUCAGCCCAUCAGUUGCGGUACCGGUGGCUUUAAGUUUUUCCGGCAGAUUGGACAUGUCCUGUGUCCAUAUCGUACCCACCUAUCUAAGCAAACUCUGUGAUAAAGAUGGUUGCAUCCCAGCUCUUUAACUUCAUCCCCUUCACCAAUUCUGCAUAAGCAAACAGCACACUCUUCGGAUGAAUCUCCACACUUUGCAUUGUUAUUAUUUUCGUAACGCGUUACAGUAAGAUCAUCAACAUAGUCUGGUAAUUCGACUAUUUCACGAGGCUGAAAGGAGGACUGCAGAAGAAGGUAAUCACAUGCUAAAAUCAGUUGGCGUGCAAUCAGAAUUAUGUAUUUUAAUACAACAGAAUUUGGCUGCAGCCUCAUCUGAAACAUUGUAUAUCGAGAGAAUAUAGUUUCUUGGAAUAUAAUGCUAUGUUGCUGUGGAAAAUUUUUAGACAGUGAAAUUCUUGGGCAUUGUUAGUGGGGUUAUAUAUGGUUUUGA